This 449-nucleotide ribosomal RNA is filed under the name uncultured bacterium. RNAcentral describes it as "bacterial SSU rRNA". It matches the Rfam family "Bacterial small subunit ribosomal RNA", at positions 329 to 792 of the family's 1533-position model. The record is from RNAcentral.
UGCCAGACUCCUACGGGAGGCAGCAGUGGGGAAUAUUGCACAAUGGGCGAAAGCCUGAUGCAGCAACGCCGCGUGAAGGAAGAAGGGUUUCGGCUCGUAAACUUCUAUCAACAGGGAUGAAAGAAAUGACGGUACCUGAAUAAGAAGCCCCGGCUAACUACGUGCCAGCAGCCGCGGUAAUACGUAGGUGGCAAGCGUUGUCCGGAUUUACUGGGUGUAAAGGGCGUGCAGCCGGGAGUGCAAGUCAGAUGUGAAAUCCCGCGGCUCAACCGCGGAACUGCAUUUGAAACUGUGCUUCUUGAGUGCUGGAGAGGCAGACGGAAUUCCUAGUGUAGCGGUGAAAUGCGUAGAUAUUAGGAGGAACACCAGUGGCGAAGGCGGUCUGCUGGACAGUAACUGACGGUGAGGCGCGAAAGCGUGGGGAGCAAACAGGAUUAGAUACCCUAGUA